Molecule: ribosomal RNA, 253 nt
Filed under: uncultured bacterium
Lineage: Bacteria
Description: partial 16S ribosomal RNA
Rfam family: Bacterial small subunit ribosomal RNA
Source: RNAcentral
GACAGAGGGUGCAAACGUUGCUCGGAAUUACUGGGCGUAAAGCGCGUGUAGGGGGACCAGCAAGUCAGGCGUGAAAUCCCUAGGCUCAACCUAGGAACUGCACCUGAAACUUCUGGUCUUGAGUGGUGGAGAGGAAAGCAGAAUUCCUGGUGUAGAGGUGAAAUUCGUAGAUAUCAGGAGGAACACCGGUGGCGAAGGCGGCUUUCUGGACACUUACUGACACUGAGACGCGAAAGCGUGGGGAGCAAACAGG